AAUGAACGCUGGCGGCAGGCCUAACACAUGCAAGUCGAACGGGCACUUCGGUGCUAGUGGCGGACGGGUGAGUAACGCGUGGGAACGUGCCCCUUGGUACGGAAUAGCCCCGGGAAACUGGGAGUAAUACCGUAUGUGGUCGAGAGACGAAAGAUUUAUCGCCAAGGGAUCGGCCCGCGUUGGAUUAGGUAGUUGGUGGGGUAAUGGCCUACCAAGCCGACGAUCCAUAGCUGGUUUGGGAGGAUGAUCAGCCACACUGGGACUGAGACACGGCCCAGACUCCUACGGGAGGCAGCAGUGGGGAAUCUUAGACAAUGGGGGAAACCCUGAUCUAGCCAUGCCGCGUGAUCGAUGAAGGCCUUAGGGUUGUAAAGAUCCUUCAGGUGGGAAGAUAAUGACUGUACCACCAGAAGAAGCCCCGGCUAACUCCGUGCCAGCAGCCGCCGUAA
This 449-nucleotide ribosomal RNA is filed under the name uncultured bacterium. RNAcentral describes it as "partial 16S ribosomal RNA". It matches the Rfam family "Bacterial small subunit ribosomal RNA", at positions 29 to 523 of the family's 1533-position model. The record is from RNAcentral.